Molecule: ribosomal RNA, 497 nt
Filed under: uncultured bacterium
Lineage: Bacteria
Description: partial 16S ribosomal RNA
Rfam family: Bacterial small subunit ribosomal RNA
Source: RNAcentral
GAUGAACGCUGGCGGCGUGCCUAAUACAUGCAAGUCGAGCGAACAGACGAGGAGCUUGCUCCUCUGACGUUAGCGGCGGACGGGUGAGUAACACGUGGAUAACCUACCUAUAAGACUGGGAUAACUUCGGGAAACCGGAGCUAAUACCGGAUAAUAUAUUGAACCGCAUGGUUCAAUAGUUAAAGACGGUUUUGCUGUCACUUAUAGAUGGAUCCGCGCCGCAUUAGCUAGUUGGUAAGGUAACGGCUUACCAAGGCGACGAUGCGUAGCCGACCUGAGAGGGUGAUCGGCCACACUGGAACUGAGACACGGUCCAGACUCCUACGGGAGGCAGCAGUAGGGAAUCUUCCGCAAUGGGCGAAAGCCUGACGGAGCAACGCCGCGUGAGUGAUGAAGGUCUUCGGAUCGUAAAACUCUGUUAUGAGGGAAGAAAAAAUGUGUAAGUAAAUAUGCACGUCUUGACGGUACCUAAUCAGAAAGCCACGGCUAACUACGUG